UCACAGUGGAUGUUUUAAAAAGUGAGUGGC
This 30-nucleotide non-coding RNA is filed under the name Mus musculus (house mouse). Lineage: Eukaryota; Metazoa; Chordata; Mammalia; Rodentia; Muridae. The record is from RNAcentral.